NNAGUGGUAGUUCAGUUGGUUAGAAUACCGGCCUGUCACGCCGGGGGUCGCGGGUUCGAGUCCCGUCCACUCCGCCA
RNAcentral lists this transfer RNA (77 nucleotides) under Pseudoalteromonas gelatinilytica. RNAcentral's name for it is "tRNA-Asp". It matches the Rfam family "tRNA". From Rfam's summary of the family: Transfer RNA (tRNA) molecules are approximately 80 nucleotides in length. The record is from RNAcentral. Lineage: Bacteria; Pseudomonadati; Pseudomonadota; Gammaproteobacteria; Alteromonadales; Pseudoalteromonadaceae.